CGGGACGGGUGAGUAACACGUGGGUAACCUACCUAUAAGACUGGGACAACUUCGGGAAACCGGAGCUAAUACCGGAUAAGAUAUCGAACCGCAUGGUUCGAUAGUGAAAGAUGGUUUUGCUAUCACUUAUAGAUGGACCCGCGCCGUAUUAGCUAGUUGGUGAGGUAACGGCUCACCAAGGCAACGAUACGUAGCCGACCUGAGAGGGUGAUCGGCCACACUGGAACUGAGACACGGUCCAGACUCCUACGGGAGGCAGCAGAU
RNAcentral lists this ribosomal RNA (264 nucleotides) under uncultured Staphylococcus sp. Its description in RNAcentral is "partial 16S ribosomal RNA". It matches the Rfam family "Bacterial small subunit ribosomal RNA", at positions 98 to 354 of the family's 1533-position model. The record is from RNAcentral. Lineage: Bacteria; Bacillati; Bacillota; Bacilli; Caryophanales; Staphylococcaceae.